AUUGAACGCUGGCGGCAGGCCUAACACAUGCAAGUCGAGCGAGCGGCGGACGGGUGAGUAAUGUAUGGGGAUCUGCCCGAUAGAGGGGUAUAACUACUGGAACCGGUGGAUAAUACCGCAAACUACCGGUUGAACCCUUAUGGGUUUAGCUAGUAGGGGGGGUAAAGGCUCACCAAGGCGACGAUCUCUAGCUGGUCUGAGAGGAUGAUCAGCCACACUGGGACUGAGACACGGCCCAGACUCCUACGGGAGGCAGCAGUGGGGAAUAUUGCACAAUGGGCGCAAGCCUGAUGCAGCCAUGCCGCGUGUAUGAAGAAGGCCUUAGGGUUGUAAAGUACUUUCAGCGGGGAGGCGUUACCCGCAGAAGAAGCACCGGCUAACUCCGUGCCAGCAGCCGCGGUAAUUC
RNAcentral lists this ribosomal RNA (406 nucleotides) under uncultured bacterium. Its description in RNAcentral is "partial 16S ribosomal RNA". It matches the Rfam family "Bacterial small subunit ribosomal RNA", at positions 30 to 526 of the family's 1533-position model. The record is from RNAcentral.